GCUACCUACCUUCUCGUAGCAAACUGCCUCCCAUACUUGUUUGCUCAAAUUAAGUUUUGUAACCUGAAAGUAGAGAGGAACAGACCAUUGCUGUGGUUGCUACCUGAGGCUGCAGGAGCAUGGGUGGUUUAAUGAGAGUGAAAAUCUGUCAACAGUAUCGAAGACAGUUGAUCAAUUUUCUGACUUUGUUUUAGCAUAUCUUCCUUACUAUUAUAUUGCAACACCUCUGUAUCAG
Molecule: long non-coding RNA, 235 nt
Organism: Homo sapiens (human)
Lineage: Eukaryota; Metazoa; Chordata; Mammalia; Primates; Hominidae
Exons: 3
Source: RefSeq, a predicted model, not a curated record